UAAUGUUAGGCAACCAAAAGUGGAAAAAGUUGUGGCCAUAAUGCUGGUGUGUGCAUGGGCAUGCACAACACCUCCCUGCCCCCCACACCCAGUGAAUCACGUUCUUCAUUUGAUUGCACUCUUGCAACUUCAUUGAAGUCAAAGGAGUUACACUGGUAUUCUGUUUAUUGACUAAACCACAAGGAUCCCUGCCCAAAGUACCAGGCGGUCUACGCUUGAAUGAUUUUGAUUUUCUAACAUCAGCCCUGGGGUUUAUUUGAAAAAUUGGUAGCAGCAGCAAAGGAUGAGGUGGCAAAAUGCUUUUGAGCAACAGAAAUGACAGUAUCCCGGAUCACCAGUAUACAUAGCAUACACCAGUGUAAUCCUUUCCAGUUACUGGUUGCAUUUACUUUUUCUUUCUUCUUCUUGCA
Molecule: long non-coding RNA, 410 nt
Organism: Mauremys mutica (yellowpond turtle)
Lineage: Eukaryota; Metazoa; Chordata; Testudines; Geoemydidae
Exons: 3
Source: RefSeq, a predicted model, not a curated record